GACGAACGCUGGCGGCGUGCCUAAUACAUGCCAGUAGAACGCUGAAGGAGGAGCUUGCUCUUCUGGAUGAGUUGCGAACGGGUGAGUAACGCGUAGGUAACCUGCCUGGUAGCGGGGGAUAACUAUUGGAAACGAUAGCUAAUACCGCAUAACAGUAGAUGUUGCAUGACAUUUGCUUAAAAGGUGCAAUUGCACCACUACCAGAUGGACCUGCGUUGUAUUAGCUAGUUGGUGGGGUAACGGCUCACCAAGGCGACGAUACAUAGCCGACCUGAGAGGGGGAUCGGCCACACUGGGACUGAGACACGGCCCAGACUCCUACGGGAGGCAGCAGUAGGGAAUCUUCGGCAAUGGACGGAAGUCUGACCGAGCAACGCCGCGUGAGUGAAGAAGGGUUUCGGAUCGUAAAGCUCUGUUGUAAGAGAAGAACGAGUGUGAGAGUGGAAAGUUCACACUGUGACGGUAUCUUACCAGAAAGGGACGGCUAACUACGUG
Molecule: ribosomal RNA, 495 nt
Filed under: uncultured bacterium
Lineage: Bacteria
Description: partial 16S ribosomal RNA
Rfam family: Bacterial small subunit ribosomal RNA
Source: RNAcentral